ACCNUUUUAAAUUUUUUUUUCGUGGCUCAGAUUGAANNGCUGGCUGACAGCCCUUAACACCNGGCAAGUCGGANNGGUAGCACAGGGGCAGCUUGAUUCCCCGGGUGACGAGUGGCGGAACGGGUGAGUAAUGUCUGGGAAAACUGCCCGAUGGAGGUGGGAUAACUACUGGAAACGGUAGCUAAUACCGCAUAACGUCUUAGGACCAAAGUGGGGGAUGUUCGGACCUCACGCCAUCGGAUGUGCCCAGAUGUGAUUAGUUGGUAGGUGGGGUAACGGCUCACCUAGGCGACGAUCCUUAGCUGGUCUGAGAGGAUGUCCAGCCACACUGGAACUGAGACACGGUCCAGAUUCUUACGGGAGGCAGCAGUGGGGAUUAUUGCACAAUGGGCGCAAGCCUGAUGCAGCCAUGCCGCGUGUAUGAAGAAGGCCUUCGGUUUGUAAAGUACUUUCAGCGGGGAGGAAGGCGGUGAGGUUAAUAACCUCCCCGAUUGACGUUACUCGCANNAAGAAGCACCGGCUAACUCCGUGCCAGCAGCCGCGGUAAUACGGAGGGUGCAAGCGUUUAUCGGAAUUAUUGGGCGUAAAGCGCACGCAGGCGGUUUGUUAAUUCGGAUGUGAAAUCCCCGGGUUUAACCUGGGAACUGCAUUUGAAACUGGCAGGCUUGAGUCUGGUAGAGGGGGGUAGAAUUCCAGGUGUAGCGGUGAAAUGCGUAGAGAUUUGGAGGAAUACCGGUGGCGAAGGCGGCCCCCUGUACGAAGACUGACGCUCAGGUGCGAAAGCGUGGGGAGCAAACAGGAUUAGAUACCCUGGUAGUCCACCCCGUAAACGAUGUCGACAAGGAGGCUGUUGCCCCUGAGGCCGUGGCUUCCGGAGCUAAACGCGUUAAGUNCGACCGCCCGGGAGACGCAAA
RNAcentral lists this ribosomal RNA (914 nucleotides) under Erwinia tasmaniensis. Its description in RNAcentral is "bacterial SSU rRNA". It matches the Rfam family "Bacterial small subunit ribosomal RNA", at positions 1 to 892 of the family's 1533-position model. The record is from RNAcentral. Lineage: Bacteria; Pseudomonadati; Pseudomonadota; Gammaproteobacteria; Enterobacterales; Erwiniaceae.